UGAAACCGUUUAGGGGUAAACCUGAGAAACCCGAAAGGUCGAAGGGAGAAAUUCAUUCGCGUUUCGCGGAAGGCUCGAACGGGUUCGUACGACGGAAGACGUGUUCGCGCACGUUUUCCGCGUUUCCCGUUCGACGAUCCUUCGGCGAACGCGUGCACUUUUCUCCUGGUAGGACGUCGCGAUCCGUUGAGCGUCGGUUUACGGUUUCGAGUGGAGACCGGCCCGGUUUCGUACGUUACCGGACGUCGGACCUCGGACGCCCGACCGACACGCUCGACGGUAGAAGAAAGGUUAGAGGCCGCUCUCGUAGCGUCCGUGUCGCGCGCAAGUACGUCAGUCUUUCAGUUGGCGAUCGGACCCGGUGCCGAUCGCCGACAGCUGGCGAUUACUGGCCGCGUUCUCUCGGACAGACCUCGUGACCGAUCGGCGACGCUAUAGCUUUGGGUACUUUCAGGACCCGUCUUGAAACACGGACCAAGGAGUCUAGCAUGUGCGCGAGUCAUUGGGAAUCGCUAAACCUAAAGGCGCAAUGAAAGUAAAGGUCUCCCUUGCGGAGACCGAGGGAAGACGGGCGUGUUUCGGCCUUAAAACCGACCGUUCUGCAUUCCCGGGGCGUCUCGUUCUCAUCGCGAGAAGAGGCGCACCAAGAGCGUACACGCUGGGACCCGAAAGAUGGUGAACUAUGCCUGGUCAGGACGAA
Molecule: ribosomal RNA, 700 nt
Filed under: Eidophelus imitans
Lineage: Eukaryota; Metazoa; Arthropoda; Insecta; Coleoptera; Curculionidae
Description: partial large subunit ribosomal RNA
Rfam family: Eukaryotic large subunit ribosomal RNA
Source: RNAcentral